Molecule: long non-coding RNA, 1402 nt
Organism: Episyrphus balteatus (marmalade hoverfly)
Lineage: Eukaryota; Metazoa; Arthropoda; Insecta; Diptera; Syrphidae
Exons: 2
Source: RefSeq, a predicted model, not a curated record
AUCAAAAGAAAAUAAAAAAAAAUGAAAUAAAAUUCAAUUAAUUCUUUUUUUUUAUGCAUUUUCUACAACAUUUUCUACAACACCUACAACAACUUCUAUAAGGCCUUAUUAUAACAUCCUACGCAAGUAAUCCGGUUUGUGCAUUAGAUAAACCCUCUGCGGGAAGACCUCCGUAAGGCCAUUUUAAACUGUUUGUCACAAGCUAUUAGCUUUUGGAUAACCUGUGAAGGAAAGUCCUAUGCAAUUUCGGUAAAAUGCGCCAAAAUGGUUUGCAUAAGACCUGUCCUUGUUAUGAAAGCCAAAAAAUAGCUUGCAUUGACCCUUAUGAAAGCUAAAUUGUUACUUGGGUUGGGGGUUCACAGCUGCACUUUUGGCAACUGUGUCAGCGAGUUCGUUUCCUUUUAUUCCCGCGUGUCCGGGGAUCCAAAAUAGUUUGAGAGAUUUUUUGUUUGCUUUGAGUCUGUCUCUUAUGUGACGAAUGAUUCGGUGAUUGUUGUUAAUGUUUUGUAUGGCAUUGAUGCUCGACAGACUGUCAGUGAAUAUUAUUCUUUUUUCUGCACUCUUCAAUUUAAUUGCAGAAAGUAUUGCAGCUGCUUCUGCACAGAAAACUGAUGAAAAGUCUGGUAGGAGGAAUUUGUAAAGGGUAUUUCCGGUAUCGUCAACUACAGCAAAGGCCGUGCAGUGUUGGUUUUUCUUACCGUCUGUGUAUAUGUAUAUAAAGCUCCAAUUAUCUCUUUUGUAGGGGGAUGAUUUUUUGAAGAAAUAAAGGGCCCAACCCAUAGAACCCGUUGCGUCCGUUCCGUCGAAGUUUUCAACUGACAGCUCGAUAAAAUACAUACGUUCUUAUGGGAAGCAACCCAAAGCGACGGAUCGGACGGAGACGGAUGGAUUUGACGGAAGAAGUAGAAAUUUUCCUCCACGCCAUCCAGAACGAGUGAAACGAAUCUUAUGUUUAGUAGAGAUUACAAUACUUGAGUGUGAUCCACAUUUCACAGACUUGUAGUGUCUGCACCCUCCGACCACUUGCAGAUGUGUUCGCUCUAAUCCUAGACAAAAACAACAUUCAACAAUUCUAUGUUGAGUAUAAAAAUGACGUCAGAGACUCCUUGCUCGCCACACUAUUGGAUGCAGUCUGUUCGAGUGGCAAUCAAGAUGUGCAAGUUCGUAUUACAAAUACAUUGCGAGGAAAGCAUUUUGUUCCCCUCAACAGUUGUGUGCAUGAAGCGACUCUCCUUCGUUUAGUGAUAAAGAAUUUCCAAAAUUCCUGACGUAGAUGUAAGAUUUAAGAGAAAUUCAACGCCAACAUUCCUCAUAGAAGUCUGAAGUAAAGUGUCACACAAGACGUUCAUGUUUUGAUAUACAAUUCGAAUGAAUAAAUCUAAAUCUCUAACCAAAGUUUUAA